RNAcentral lists this transfer RNA (74 nucleotides) under Deltaproteobacteria bacterium. RNAcentral's name for it is "tRNA-Ile". It matches the Rfam family "tRNA". From Rfam's summary of the family: Transfer RNA (tRNA) molecules are approximately 80 nucleotides in length. Their secondary structure includes four short double-helical elements and three loops (D, anti-codon, and T loops). Lineage: Bacteria; Pseudomonadati; Myxococcota; Myxococcia. The record is from RNAcentral.
GGCCCUGUAGCUCAGUUGGUUAGAGCAGCCGGCUCAUAACCGGUAGGUCCCUGGUUCGAAUCCAGGUGGGGCCA